Molecule: ribosomal RNA, 342 nt
Filed under: uncultured bacterium
Lineage: Bacteria
Description: bacterial SSU rRNA
Rfam family: Bacterial small subunit ribosomal RNA
Source: RNAcentral
AGAGUUUGAUCAUGGGUCAAAUUGAACGCUGGCGGCAGGCCUAACACAUGCAAGUCGAGCGGAUGAUGGGAGCUUGCUCCUGGAUUCAGCGGCGGACGGGUGAGUAAUGCCUAGGAAUCUGCCUGGUAGUGGGGGACAACGUUUCGAAAGGAACGCUAAUACCGCAUACGUCCUACGGGAGAAAGCAGGGGACCUUCGGGCCUUGCGCUAUCAGAUGAGCCUAGGUCGGAUUAGCUUGUUGGUGAGGUAAUGGCUCACCAAGGCGACGAUCCGUAACUGGUCUGAGAGGAUGAUCAGUCACACUGGAACUGAGACACGGUCCAGACUCCUACGGGAGGCAGC